CUCAGGCGCAGUGGGCCGGUGCCGCCGACGAGAGUGCACUACUCCGUGCGCAGGCGCAGUGGGCCCGGGCAGAAGACCUGGGGCGCGCUGCUCACUGCGCAGGCGCAGUGAGCCCAGGCGGGCAGCCCUGGCCAGCAGCUCUUGUCCCUGUGGCUGGAGGCUGAAGUCCACGUAGGCCCCGGCGGGGAGCCGCUGGGGUGUAGGCCGGGUGCCUUUGUCCAAGCCUGGCGCCACUGCCCAGACACUUUACUUCAAAUUUGGCUUUAUUUUCAUCAUUGAUAUUGAUUAAAAUGACAUUCACUUGCCCGGAAAGUAAAAGAGGUCUUCAGCACAAAAUAUUGCUCCAACAAGCAAGCAUAAAUCACUGAGAUUGAAAUGUCAUCUAUCUUUAUUGGCCAACCACAUAAUCUCCAUGAAAAUUCUCAACAGAGAGCAAGGAACUCACUUUCUUCUAAGCAAAGACAAUUUGGAUUUGCCUCGUGGCACUGGCAUCUCUUCAUGUCUGGACGUCAGAUGUUAGCUUGGUGCCUUUCUCCCUUAUCAGGGGGACAUUUUGAACCCAGCCGCACCAAUGUUCUCAUGGAUGGUGGCCUUCGAUUCUUCUAGAUUCAAGAUUUGGCUCUUGUACUUUUCCUGCCAGUCCUCUACAAUGUACUGGUGGUAGGGGUCAUUGGAGUGUUCCCGUCUCUUGGAUUUCACAGUGCUCACCAGGAUGGCCACGAUGAUGAAAGAGAACAUUCCAAUCAUCACCAUGAGGUACAGGAUGACAUAGUAGAAGUUCUCAGCAUCAACUUUGGCUUGGAGGGCCUCUUGCUCAGCUGUUGUGUUCUGGCGCCAAUUGUCCAUAUAAGUAAUAAAAAUCCUUCGGAAGACGUCUUCCAGCGUCUGUGUGAAAUUGGAUAAAGUAGACAUGCUUCCCUCCUGCUGCAAUUUAAAUAAUAAAAUAGGCGAACAAGAGAAUUGUGGGGCAUUAUGAGAUAACAUCAAGAGAAAAGAUUGCAGGGGGCAUUGACAGACUCUCCAAUUUGUUCCAUCCCCUAUGUCUAAGUGGCACAUUGUCCCAAGUAUCCUAAAGGGAGGGGUGUGUACAUCUAUAUUUGAAAGAAGCAUUUUAGGAUGUUUAGUGAGAUUCAGUAACUGAGUCCCGAUGACAGGAGAGCUUG
This 1163-nucleotide long non-coding RNA is filed under the name Homo sapiens (human). Its description in RNAcentral is "HSALNT0403930". Lineage: Eukaryota; Metazoa; Chordata; Mammalia; Primates; Hominidae. The record is from RNAcentral.